GACGAACGCUGGCGGCGUGCUUAACACAUGCAAGUCGAACGGAAAGGCCCUGCUUUUGUGGGGUGCUCGAGUGGCGAACGGGUGAGUAACACGUGAGUAACCUGCCCUUGACUUUGGGAUAACUUCAGGAAACUGGGGCUAAUACCGGAUAGGAGCUCCUGCUGCAUGGUGGGGGUUGGAAAGUUUCGGCGGUUGGGGAUGGACUCGCGGCUUAUCAGCUUGUUGGUGGGGUAGUGGCUUACCAAGGCUUUGACGGGUAGCCGGCCUGAGAGGGUGACCGGCCACAAUGGGAAUGAGAUAAGGCCCAGACUCCUACGGGAGGGAGCAGUGGGGAAUUUUGCACAAUGGGCGGGAGCCUGAUGCAGCAAAGCCGCGUGCGGGAUGACGGCCUUCGGGUUGGAAAACGCGUUCGCCUGUGACGAAGCGUGAGUGAAGGUAAUGGGUAAAGAAGCACCGGCUAAAUACGUGC
This 469-nucleotide ribosomal RNA is filed under the name uncultured bacterium. RNAcentral's name for it is "partial 16S ribosomal RNA". It matches the Rfam family "Bacterial small subunit ribosomal RNA", at positions 28 to 508 of the family's 1533-position model. The record is from RNAcentral.